Oncorhynchus tshawytscha (Chinook salmon) is the source of this 475-nucleotide long non-coding RNA. Lineage: Eukaryota; Metazoa; Chordata; Actinopteri; Salmoniformes; Salmonidae. The record is from Ensembl.
AUUUAUUAUAGCCAUGUUUGCGCAGUGGUGAACCUAUAGGCCUUCAGUGUGUGACAGGUUAGUACAGUGGUGAACCUAUAGGUCUUCAGUGUGUGACAGGUUAGUACAGUGGUGAACCUAUAGGUCUUCAGUGUGUGACAGGUUAGUACAGUGGUGAACCUAUAGGUCUUCAGUGUGUGACAGGUUAGUACAGUGGUGAACCUAUAGGUCUUCAGUGUGUGACAGGUUAGUACAGUGGUGAACCUAUAGGCCUUCAGUGUGUGACAGGUUAGUACAGUGGUGAACCUAUAGGCCUUCAGUGUGUGACAGGUUAGUACAGUGGUGAACCUAUAGGUCUUCAGUGUGUGACAGGUUAGUACAGUGGUGAACCUAUAGGCCUUCAGUGUGUGACAGGUUAGUACAGUGGUGAACCUAUAGGCCUUCAGUGUGUGACAGUGGUGAACCUAUAGGCCUUCAGUGUGUGACAGUGGUGAAC